Molecule: long non-coding RNA, 3693 nt
Organism: Leptopilina boulardi
Lineage: Eukaryota; Metazoa; Arthropoda; Insecta; Hymenoptera; Figitidae
Exons: 3
Source: RefSeq, a predicted model, not a curated record
UGUUUCAUAAUUUAAUUUUCUAUAAUACUUAUAAGAAUUAAUUUAUCAAUAAAUUUACAAAAUUGUACUCAAUGUUUGACAAAGUAUUGACUUCGAUCUACUGUCAACUAUCAUGUCGAAACUUAUGCACAUUUAACAAAAAAUCCUGUUUUGAUUUUUUAUUACGAAUCCUAAAGCCCAUAUGAUUCAUGUAGUUGAUUAUUUUUUUGCAACACUAUAAGUUGAAUUUUAUUAACGCAUACGGAAAACCGUGCGUAAAGUGUCUCUUUUUAUAACAGGUGCGUAUACAGUAAAUACUUUAUAAUGAUUCUUUUCUUCCUCAAUGGUUUAUUUAUAGUCAUAUGAAUGUAUGAGGAAUAAUUUGUAGAUUUUCUAGAUGAUUUGAAGAACAAUGCUUUAUUAACAUUUUAUAAAUAAAUAAAUAACCCCAGAAAACUAUGAAAAAUAAUUUUUUUUGGGAAAUCAAAAUAUAAUAUAUAUAUAUAUAUGUUGCAAGACGCGCGAAACCUUUUUUUGAGUCGAAAUAACGGUACGUGUGUGUCAUUGGGAUCUCGCUUUUCAAUUCAUUUAAAUAUUUGCAUAUUCACCUUUUUCACACAGAUACGCCUUUAUUUUUUUGCAUGUGUUGCCGUCUGAAAAUUUCUUUAUUUUUAUUUGAGAAUAGCCCAAGGCCAGAAGGGUUGUAAGGGGUUGUCCUAUUAAGUUACACAUUUAGGUUCUUUGCAUCCAUUAUAAGAUUGAUAUAUGCUUAUUCCAAAAGUAAAAUCUAUAUGUUACGUUACAAAUUUUUAAGAAAUCUAAUUAAUUGAAAAUAAAAUAUUUAAUUUUCUGCAUGUUAAUAGAAAAUUAAACAAGUUCAAUAAAUGUUGAUGAAUUUAAAUGUUAUUUUUCUGAUUCGUCAUUAGUCAAUAAAUCCCUAGCUCAUGAUUCAAAAGGGAUAUAUUGAUUACGCUCUCAAGUACUAUAGGGAAAUGAUAAUGGACUUGUUUUUAACUCUUAUAUGAAACUCAAGCUAUAUGUAGCAUCAAGUAUUGUUGGCUUUUUCUCCUCUUUUAGUAGGAGGGAUUUCCAUAUAGUCUAUAGAGAGACGGUAAAGAAUCUUAUAUGUAUUGAUGUUAUUGGACUGAACCCUCUAUCAUGGAGGCAGCAUGUUUUCGGGAUUUCACAUAAAACAUUAUAAUGGUUCAAGCAGAAAUAAAUACUCUUAAAAUAUUAAACAAUUAAAUUUAUUCUUUCUUUUUUUAUUAUUUAUUAGGUCUUUGUCCAUAUUUUAUAUCUCUUUUUCUAUUAACGCAGGAGGAUAUAACUAUUACGAUAUCAAUAUAGGAAUGAAAACUAUGUUAUCGCAGAUAAUUUAAUUGCUUGAUUAACAUAUUGAAAUUUUUUGUGAAAAAUGGUGUUUUGACAUGCAAUAUUUAAGAACUUAUUUGGUACACCGAUUGGUGAGUAGUGUACAUUGUUUCUUUUUAUUACAUAGUCAAUCUAAUUUUCAGGUGUCAUUAAUCAAGUCGCGUUUUUAUCAAUGACUUUAUGAGAAAUUAAUUAAGAUAAACUGUACAGUAGGUUUGCUAUAAAUAAAUAAGUGUACAAUAGUCCAGAAAAAGAGUUUCUUCAAUCAUGAAUUUUGUUAAUAUUUAAAAGUUGAUAAAAUCCAAUUUAUAAUAUAAUAAGUUUGACCAUAUAAUGAGCUUUUGAAUCUGACUUUAAGAAGAAUUUAUAAUUUUCUAAUAAAUAGCAUUGUGUCUAGUAUAAAGUAUAGUUUUAAUUCUUACUAUUCUUUUAUAGAUAUCUUUAGAUUAAAAGAAGACGCGCACGCAUAGUAAAGUUACGUGAAUUGGACGCAUGUGUUAGUACUGUUCAAAAUGGUUCUGUAUAGAUACAUGGAAGCCGAUGCAGCCAAUGCUACGUUCGACUGUACAGUUCCCGCCCGUCGGUUCUGCGAGAUGGUAGGAGUCAGUUCAACAGUCUCCUCUUUGAUUUUUCUCUUACGAUGUUUCUUAUACUACAAUUCGGUUAAACAUAUAAUUAUUAUUUGUACAAUUAUUUUAUUUUCUCCAUCCUGAUUGAUUCCUUUGUUAACGAUUUAGAAACAAAAAAAUACUUGAGCGCAAAAUUCUAUCUAUCAUAUUUAAUUCAAAGUGUUUUGUUGUAAAUAAUUCUUUAAACUUAGGAAAAACUGUAACAAAAUUUUUCUUUAUAUUUUACAAAUUAUAGAAUUCUAAUAAUUGUACUAAAUUAACUUUAAAAUAUUAAAAUAAAACUUAUUUGUAAUUAAGUAAUUUAUUAAGUAUGUUCAAAAUAAUGACAUAAAUUUUAUUAUUAUUAUUAUUAUUAUUAUAUAAUUAUUAGAAAAGUUUCGAAAAAAAUGUAAACUUAUUGUUAUUUAAAUAAAAUUCCGGAAACUGAAAUUCGAUACUAUUCUUUAAAGAGACGUACACAUUAAAGCAUUAUCAAAUCUCCUGGUCUUUAAUAAACUCCUUUGACACACUUCUGUCUUGUUUACUUUGGAUUCUUCUUCCUUCCGUUUUUCCGGCAGUGGUGAAAUAAUUAUGUCUUUUUUGUGAUUAAUAUGAAUAUAAUACAAGUUGAAUAAUUUUUAAAUAUGUAUGUUUGUGAUAGAGAGAGAUAUAUUUCUUCAAGUGUUUUAUUAUGCGAUUGUAACAAAGUAUUUCAAGAUUUACUGAAACAUAGUUUCUUUCAUUCACGAACAAGGUGUGCUAGAAAGAGGAUGUCCAGUUCCUGAACAUAGGAGAAACAUUGCAUUCUAAAAAAAUUCUUCAAAAUCUUCAGCUCGUAAUGUAGAAACUUCACUUUUAAUUUCUUUAAAAAAGCCGGAAGACUGUUGAUUCAUAGAACACUAUAGUACAAAUUAAAAUUUAAGACUGGAGCAUGUGUCUUCUAAAAAAUUAAUUGGUUCCUCCAAAUAACAUUAGUAGUGUAAGAUGAGUAAAUUAGUCAUUUUUACAUGUUCAAAAGUUUAAAUUAAUUAAAAAUAUUAAAUUUAAUCAAGAGAAACUUUUAAUAUAUAAUUUUGUAGGUAUACGAAGCAACGCUAAAGUAAGAAAAACAAACAAAGGAAUAUAAUAUAUGAUAGAAGAAUUCAAGAUAAAAAAUAAGUUUGGAAGAAUGUUUAGACUACAAAACGUCUACACAUAAGUAGUAUAUCUGACAUUAUUAAGUAUACAAUAUGAAACAAAUGAACGCUUUAAAGAAGGAUAUGGCUUCUUCUAUACAUUUCUCUCCCACGAUAAUAUUUGAAAAAAAUAUUGGACUACUCAUGCUGAUGCAGAUCCAUGAAAAUAAAAUUCCAGGAUGUAUAUGAAACAUAAAAAUACUGCUGUGUAACUGCUUUAAAUCAUUUGUAUUUUGUACAUAUAGUUAUUGAUAACUUGAGAGAAAAUUGAUAAAUAUUUCAGUUAUAUAGUAUACAUUUCGUAAUAAUUCUACUUUUCUGUAGUACCCAUAAUCUGUAAGAACACUACAAUAUCUAAUUGAAUCCUGAACUCACUUUCCAUGUAAUGGAUCAGUAAUUAUAGUUAUUUGGAAAGGCGUGUGAAAAAUGGAUUGAAAAUAUUUUUAAAUCAAGAACUUAACAGAGAAGAAGUAUAUAGAAAUCUAUCAAUUGUAUAUAAAAGAAAGGCUAUAUUUUAUUAAACAUGGAUAUUUUUUCACUCUUAAAAAAUUAAAAUCUUU